This 304-nucleotide long non-coding RNA is filed under the name Nicotiana benthamiana. RNAcentral describes it as "long non-coding RNA (NBEN_LNC019155)". Lineage: Eukaryota; Viridiplantae; Streptophyta; Magnoliopsida; Solanales; Solanaceae. The record is from RNAcentral.
CCAAAUGUAAUUCAUAUCAGAUGUAAAAUCAUUAUUACAGAUGGAACUAUUUACAUGUGAAGGCAAUGGAACAGCCUUGUUAUCAGACAAGAUGUCAUUAUUACAAGAAACAGACACAGAAGGCAACGCAACAACUUUGCUAUCAUUACAAGAAGUAGAUACAGGACAAACAGAAGUAGAGGAACAACUAACAGAUGAAGAAGGGGAAGAAGGGACCCAAGCCAGUUUAUAUAGGCCAGCAGCUUCUCUACCAAGAUCCAGUGGCCUCCUCAGAGAAGGGUCCUGUAUCAUGUGUAGUAANNNN